GAUGAACGCUGGCGGCGUGCCUAAUACAUGCAAGUUGAGCGAACAGAUGAGGAGCUUGCUCCUCUGACGUUAGCGGCGGACGGGUGAGUAACACGUGGAUAACCUACCUAUAAGACUGGGAUAACUUCGGGAAACCGGAGCUAAUACCGGAUAAUAUAUUGAACCGCAUGGUUCAAUAGUGAAAGACGGUUUUGCUGUCACUUAUAGAUGGAUCCGCGCCGCAUUAGCUAGUUGGUAAGGUAACGGCUUACCAAGGCGACGAUGCGUAGCCGACCUGAGAGGGUGAUCGGCCACACUGGAACUGAGACACGGUCCAGACUCCUACGGGAGGCAGCAGUAGGGAAUCUUCCGCAAUGGGCGAAAGCCUGACGGAGCAACGCCGCGUGAGUGAUGAAGUUCUUCGGAUCGUAAAACUCUGUUAUUAGGGAAGAACAAAUGUGUAAGUAACUAUGCACGUCUUGACGGUACCUAAUCAGAAAGCCACGGCUAACUACGUG
This 497-nucleotide ribosomal RNA is filed under the name uncultured bacterium. RNAcentral describes it as "partial 16S ribosomal RNA". It matches the Rfam family "Bacterial small subunit ribosomal RNA", at positions 28 to 507 of the family's 1533-position model. The record is from RNAcentral.